UGGAUAGAUAGAUCCUGGAUACAUGCCUCAGUACAACCGCACACUAGUCCAGGCCCCGAGCCUGUGUGCUGGCUCAGUGGUGAUGCCAUCUGCUAAGUGUGGACUCCUUGGGUUCACUUUACUUGAUUGGGUCUUGCAUGUGGGGCCUGUGAGGGAGUCCAGGGGGAGGAGGAACCAGGCGGUGGUCAGUCCUAAGUACUAGCCCCAGGGUUUGAACUUCCUAGAAAAAGUACAGGGGAUUCUAGGUGGGGUCAGUGGGUGAGGAUGUGUUUCACUGUGACGUCCCCGAGGCAGUGAGGACAGGCGGGGAGGUGGUGAGGCUGAGGGACUGCCUGCCUCCCUGCC
This 345-nucleotide long non-coding RNA is filed under the name Bos taurus (domestic cattle). Its description in RNAcentral is "long non-coding RNA NONBTAT026051". The record is from RNAcentral. Lineage: Eukaryota; Metazoa; Chordata; Mammalia; Artiodactyla; Bovidae.